GCACCUACCGAUUGAAUGGUUCGGUGAGAAUCUCGGACUGCGGCUUGGAUGCCUUCGGGCAACCAAGCUGUGGAAAGUUGUUUAAACCUCAUCAUUUAGAGGAAGGUGAAGUCGUAACAAGGUUUCUGUAGGUGAACCUGCAGAAGGAUCAAGAUCUGAAGAGCGUCGGUGAGGGACAGAGUGUAGAUCUCGUUGGUCGCCAUAUAAUUAAAAAAAAACAAACAGUGAAGCAAUAUAAUAAUAUUCUGAACACACUUAUACACACAUCCUCGACUCU
RNAcentral lists this unclassified non-coding RNA (277 nucleotides) under sea anemone metagenome. Its description in RNAcentral is "partial contains small subunit ribosomal RNA and internal transcribed spacer 1". The stretch from base 1 to 154 matches the Rfam family "Eukaryotic small subunit ribosomal RNA", at positions 1678 to 1831 of the family's 1831-position model. The record is from RNAcentral.